AACGAACGCUGGCGGCAUGCCUAACACAUGCAAGUCGAACGAGAUCUUCGGGUCUAGUGGCGCACGGGUGCGUAACGCGUGGGAAUCUGCCCUUUGGUUCGGAAUAACAGUUGGAAACGACUGCUAAUACCGGAUGAUGACGAAAGUCCAAAGAUUUAUCGCCAGAGGAUGAGCCCGCGUAGGAUUAGCUAGUUGGUGUGGUAAAGGCGCACCAAGGCGACGAUCCUUAGCUGGUCUGUGAGGAUGAUCAGCCACACUGGGACUGAGACACGGCCCAGACUCCUACGGGAGGCAGCAGUGGGGAAUAUUGGACAAUGGGCGAAAGCCUGAUCCAGCAAUGCCGCGUGAGUGAUGAAGGCCUUAGGGUUGUAUAGCUCUUUUACCCGGGAUGAUAAUGACAGUACCGGGAGAAUAAGCUCCGGCUAACUCCGUGCCAGCCGCCGCAGUAA
RNAcentral lists this ribosomal RNA (449 nucleotides) under uncultured bacterium. RNAcentral describes it as "partial 16S ribosomal RNA". It matches the Rfam family "Bacterial small subunit ribosomal RNA", at positions 29 to 523 of the family's 1533-position model. The record is from RNAcentral.